GCAGGGACUCGUCAAACUCCAGCGCUAACUUUACUUUCUUUCUCUCCCUUUCCUCCCCAUUUCGCCUCGAGUUUUGUCUCCGCUUCCGGCUCAUACAGUUUUUUUCUGGGCUUUAUGGUGGUGAGGUGCCCUUUCACUGCGAAAUGGCAGAACAACUUAAAAGUUCAUUUGAUGGUGACUAAAUGUCUUAGUGCCGCUAAAAGAUAGGAAAACUGAUGCUGUGAAAAUGAAGAUGACUUGUCCACCAUGUGAGAAGUCUUGCUCCAGAGCAGCCAUGACCCAGUCUUGCGUCUUACCACACUUAUCAGACACCCAAGCCCAGUCUCAGAUGGAUACACAUCCAGCCCAUUCAAAUCACCAAUG
Molecule: long non-coding RNA, 363 nt
Organism: Tupaia belangeri chinensis (Chinese tree shrew)
Lineage: Eukaryota; Metazoa; Chordata; Mammalia; Scandentia; Tupaiidae
Exons: 3
Source: RefSeq, a predicted model, not a curated record